UUUUCCGUUUUAUCUAUAAAAUUAUCUGAUGUCUUCUGCUAACUAUUCUGCUAUUCCUUAAAAUGUAUAAUUUUCCGUCUUAGAUGAUUGCCAAAAGAGCAGUGCUGGUUUCCUUGAAGGUGGAAUUAGGGAGGGAAGUCUACCUAUUCAUGAACGUUGAUAAAGUCAAACAGACUGCCGUUACCACCAACUUUGAGAUAGUACUAAAUACAGUAAGCAGGACAGCAUAUUGGAUGGACAAAAAAAUGCCAACUAAUAUUUUUCUGCCUUUAAUAAGCAUUUCCGAAGUUAACUUUUUAAUAGCACAUGUAACCUAAAUCACCAAAAUUCUUAAGACCUUUUGAAAAUUAUCUUCAAUUGUACAUCGUUAUGCCCAAAAUCGGGAAGCUUUUAUUUUAUUAAAAUAUGUACAUCUUGAAACCUGUAUGUUUUUGUGAAUCGAUUACUUAAUUAGUUAUUAUCCACCUUGUGUGUUAAUUAGUG
RNAcentral lists this long non-coding RNA (483 nucleotides) under Nicotiana benthamiana. Its description in RNAcentral is "long non-coding RNA (NBEN_LNC039436)". Lineage: Eukaryota; Viridiplantae; Streptophyta; Magnoliopsida; Solanales; Solanaceae. The record is from RNAcentral.